CUAUCAACUUUCGAUGGUAAGGUAUUGGCUUACCAUGGUUUCAACGGGUAACGGGGAAUUAGGGUUCGAUUCCGGAGAGGGAGCCUGAGAAACGGCUACCACAUCCAAGGAAGGCAGCAGGCGCGCAAAUUACCCAAUUCCGAUACGGAGAGGUAGUGACAAUAAAUACUGAUACAGGGCUCUUUUGGGUCUUGUAAUUGGAAUGAGUACAAUUUAAACCUCUUAACGAGGAACAAUUGGAGGGCAAGUCUGGUGCCAGCAGCCGCGGUAAUUCCAGCUCCAAUAGCGUAUAUUAAAGUUGUUGCAGUUAAAAAGCUCGUAGUUGAACCUUUGGCCUGGCUGGCAGGUCCGCCUCACCGCGUGCACUUGUCCGGCCGGGCCUUUUCUUCUGGAGAACCGCAUGCCCUUCACUGGGUGUGUUGGGGACCAGGACUUUUACUUUGAAAAAAUUAGAGUGUUCAAAGCAGGCCUUUGCUCGAAUACGUUAGCAUGGAAUAAUAGAAUAGGACGUGCGGUCCUAUUUUGUUGGUUUCUAGGACCGCCGUAAUGAUUAAUAGGGACAGUCGGGGGCAUCAGUAUUCAAUUGUCAGAGGUGAAAUUCUUGGAUUUAUUGAAGACUAACUACUGCGAAAGCAUUUGCCAAGGAUGUUUUCAUUAAUCAGUGAACGAAAGUUAGGGGAUCGAAGACGAUCAGAUACCGUCGUAGUCUUAACCAUAAACUAUGCCGACUAGGGAUCGGGCGGUGUUUCUAUUGUGACCCGCUCGGCACC
This 770-nucleotide ribosomal RNA is filed under the name Paraconiothyrium sp. RNAcentral's name for it is "SSU rRNA". It matches the Rfam family "Eukaryotic small subunit ribosomal RNA", at positions 312 to 1087 of the family's 1831-position model. Lineage: Eukaryota; Fungi; Ascomycota; Dothideomycetes; Pleosporales; Didymosphaeriaceae. The record is from RNAcentral.